This 619-nucleotide long non-coding RNA is filed under the name Pan troglodytes (chimpanzee). RNAcentral's name for it is "long non-coding RNA NONPTRT018414". Lineage: Eukaryota; Metazoa; Chordata; Mammalia; Primates; Hominidae. The record is from RNAcentral.
AUCCAAGAUGGCAGUGUGUGUCCAAGAUGGUGGUGCUUAUCCAAGAUGGCCGUGUGUGUCCAAGAUGGUGUGUGUCCAAGAUGGUGGUGCUUAUCCAAGAUGGCGGUGUCUGUCCAAGAUGGCGGUGUGUCUCCACAAUGACACUGUGUCCAUGAUGGCCAAGAUGGUGGCGUGUGUCCACGAUGGUGGUGUGUGUCCAAGAUGGUGGUGUCUGUCCAAGAUGGCGGUGUGUGUCCAUGAUGGCGGUGUGUGUCCACGAUGGCCAAGAUAGUGUGUGUCCACGAUGGCGGUGUGUGUCCAUGAUGGCGGUGUGUGUCCAAGAUGGCAGUGUGUGUCCAUGAUGGUGGUGUGUGUCCAAGAUGGAGGUAUCUGUCCAAGAUGGCGGUGUGUGUCCACGAUGGGGGUGUCUGUCCACGAUGGGGGAUGGGGGUGUCUGUCCAAGAUGGCGGUGUGUCUCCACAAUGACACUGUGUCCAUGAUGUCCACGAUGGUGGUAUGUGUCCAAGAUGGCGGUGUGUGUCCCAGAUGGUGGUGUGUGUCCACGAUGGCCAAGAUAGCAGUGUGUGUCCACGAUGGCGGUGUGUGUCCAUGAUGGCGGUGUGUGUCCAAGAUGGUGGUG